AGAGAGAGACAUGCGCGCACUAUCAAUAAGCGGAGGAAAAGAAACUAACAAGGAUUCCCUUAGUAACGGCGAGUGAAGCGGGAAGAGCUCAAAUUUGAAAUCUUCAAGGUUUUACCUUGACGAAUUGUAGUUUAAAGAAGUGUUUUCUGCUGAAGUUUUGGUAAAAGUUCUUUGGAAUAGGACAUCAUAGAGGGUGAGAAUCCCGUAUUUGACCAUUAUUUUCAGCUUUGUGAUACACUUUCAAAGAGUCGGAUUGUUUGGGAAUGCAGUCCAAAAUGGGUGGUAAAUUUCAUCUAAAGCUAAAUAUUGGCGGAGAGACCGAUAGCGAACAAGUACCGUGAGGGAAAGAUGAAAAGAACUUUGAAAAGAGAGUUAAACAGUACGUGAAAUUGUCAAAAGGGAAGCGUUUGACACCAGUGUUGUUUUCUCGAAAAUCAAUUAAAAAUGGCUCGAUUUUGUAUUGCUUGAGACCUUAAAAGCUCACUGUACAUUUUUCGUGUCUUUUUUAAUGCACUUUUCGUUUAACAAGUCAACAUCAGUUUCUUUUGUUGUAAAAGGGUCAUUGGAAGGUGGCUUUCUUUUCGGAGAAAGUGUUUAUAGCCUUUGGCCUCUGCAAUCGAAGAGACUGAGGUCUGCAGCGUAGACUCUUCGGGGUUAGAUACAUUUGUGCUAAGUUAUAGCUUUUUAUAGACAACUUGUUGACUAUAAUUAGUCUUGUAGCUUACUCGCUUAUGCUAUUUUACCUACGCUUAGGAUGUUGAAGAUGUAGCACAUCAU
RNAcentral lists this ribosomal RNA (777 nucleotides) under uncultured Neocallimastigales. RNAcentral describes it as "partial large subunit ribosomal RNA". It matches the Rfam family "Eukaryotic large subunit ribosomal RNA", at positions 37 to 620 of the family's 3401-position model. The record is from RNAcentral. Lineage: Eukaryota; Fungi; Neocallimastigomycota; Neocallimastigomycetes; Neocallimastigales.